This 293-nucleotide ribosomal RNA is filed under the name uncultured bacterium. RNAcentral's name for it is "partial 16S ribosomal RNA". It matches the Rfam family "Archaeal small subunit ribosomal RNA", at positions 455 to 747 of the family's 1478-position model. The record is from RNAcentral.
GUGCCAGCCGCCGCGGUAAUACCGGCAGCCCGAGUGAUGGCCGAUCUUAUUGGGCCUAAAGCGUUCGUAGCCUGCCAAUCAGGUUCGUCGGGAAAUCCACGCGCUCAACGUGUGGGCGUCCGGCGAAUACCGAUUGGCUUGGGACCGGAGGACCCGAGGGGUACGUCCGGGGUAGGAGUGAAAUCCUGUAAUCCCGGACGGACCACCGGUGGCGAAGGCGCCUCGGGAGGACGGAUCCGACGGUGAGGAACGAAAGCUGGGGUCACGAACCGGAUUAGAUACCCGGGUAGUCC